CAACGGACAUACAUUCCUAUAUUUCUGAACAUAUAUUUCACAUUUUUAUUUCAAGAACAUUUGUGGUGUCUGUUUUACUCAAAUGGGCGACGGUUUGCAGAUGUUGUCCUUUUGUUCAAAGUGUUUCACACGGACGGAUUUACCGGGCGCGCUUCCUCUUAAGAACAGGCUCUGAGUGAACAACAUCGCGAGCUCAAGCCUCAAAUAAAAUAUCAGAAAUAGCAUCAGAUAAUAAUAUCAGAAAUCUGUGAAGAUAACAACACAACAUUAUGAUGGAGCGGAGCCGUCGGAGGAGGAGUCAAAGGGGUGAGGGCGGAGCCGAGGGAUUUAUUGAUUUUUUUUUUUUUUUGGGACAAAUAAUAAUUAAAAAAAGGUUCUGUUUUAUAGUCUGACCAGUUCAGUUUUGUGUGUGUAACACUUGAUGUUUGGUAGUCUCACCCUUUCAUGUCUGUGUGUUUUUUCUGCAUUGUGGCUGUUUUCUUUGUUUGUUUUUUAGAUUUUAUAUAACAAAUAAUGGGAAAAAAAACUCUGGCGGUCACUUUUGAUCAGGAACAUUACAAGUGUAACUUUUUUUUUCUACCACUUAGACUGAUCGAAUCAACCCUUUCUUUGUGUGUUAAGAUAUCAAAUGGAUGAAAAGUCAUCAAGUCUCGUACCCGUCAGAUAAGGGAAACCAGUUUUAUUGAAGAAACAAAACUGAUUUUGGUCAAACAUUACCGAACUGUGCAUAAGGGUUAAAUAUAUCUAAUUAAAGUUAACACAAACUGUAAUAACAUUGAUGAGUUUCAUGAUAAUGUAGAUUUUCAUGAUGGAGGAAGACCAUUCAAAAUAAAAAAGGCUAACAUCUAUGACAUCUUACCAUGACUCAGUUAUAAAUAGUUUUUUGUACAUACAUGGGGUAACAGGAUAAAACAACUUACAGUUCUUACAAUGGCCCUUUGGUGUUUGAUAUUGUAGUAAAACCAUUGAUGGCAAUGGUUAUUCAUGUCCAUUAUACUUUAUAAUAAAACGUUUUCAAUUUA
Long non-coding RNA from Myxocyprinus asiaticus (Chinese sucker), 1022 nucleotides. RefSeq lists it as uncharacterized. NCBI's taxonomy places the organism in Eukaryota, Metazoa, Chordata, Actinopteri, Cypriniformes, Catostomidae. The transcript is spliced from 2 exons. The record is from RefSeq and is a predicted model, not a curated record.